RNAcentral lists this small RNA (27 nucleotides) under Bombyx mori (domestic silkworm). RNAcentral's name for it is "ovarian small RNA-16109". The record is from RNAcentral. Lineage: Eukaryota; Metazoa; Arthropoda; Insecta; Lepidoptera; Bombycidae.
GAUCCAGUGCGUCGUACACGGUGGGAA